Contarinia nasturtii (swede midge) is the source of this 1322-nucleotide long non-coding RNA. RefSeq lists it as uncharacterized. The record is from RefSeq and is a predicted model, not a curated record. Lineage: Eukaryota; Metazoa; Arthropoda; Insecta; Diptera; Cecidomyiidae. The transcript is spliced from 3 exons.
UAUAGAUAUGGGAAACACUCUAUUCUACAUAAUUGAAAACUUUUGAUGAAAUCUCAACAAAAACUUAAUUUAAAUUUUGUUGGAUUUUGGCUGGUAUCGUAGAACACUGAGGACUUACAUUGUUGUUGUUGUUUCAUUUCCAGUAUGCCUAUUUAUACAAAAUAAACACAAAAAAUACAAAUCGAAGAAGUUACUCAACCCUCUAGUGUAUGAAUUAUUGUCAAUAAUAUAUUUUUUAUUCUAAAGUUUUUUACACAUGAACUAAAACACAUCCAGAAAGGAUCAGCCUAUCCUUUUAUAUCCAUUUAACAAUUGGUUCUUGGUCACUUUUUGACUUUUGUCCCUACGGUCACCGGGUUGCCUGCAUGUGACACACCUGGACAUAUGCAUAUCGUUGGAAAGGUCUUGAAGUGAGCUAUCGAAAGGUGCCAUUGGUGCCGCCAAUCAUUCAACGUGCUUACUAUUCAGGACAAAUUGAGAGAAUUAUUGGUAAAAACAUUGGCAUUUGAUGGUGCAAAAUUGGCAUCAAACUCCCCAAUUAAAGGAUAUCUAUGGAGUCCGCAUCGAGAAUUGCAACAAACGGUACGUGACUAUGUAUUCCUUUUUCCAAUCAGAAGUGUAGUCGAUCAGGACGUAAGCUCAAGAAACGAAGAAGCGUGCCAGAACGUUAAUCAAAAGACCGUUUGCCCCAACUGUAAACCGGUCGACGAUGGCGUUUUUCACGAUCCAAUUCAAUGGACAGGCAGAGUUCAUCGUACUUACAAAAAGAAACAUCCAGAAACAAAUCCAAAUCCACAACCAAGACGAAAGAAGAAUAAAUACGAAAAGCUGGAACCCAAGUUUUGUCAACCAAUUUUCAUAAUGGUCAAAUGGAAACAAUUAUUACCAAAUUACAAUCGAAAAUGCACUCGAAAAGGAAACUUCGAGUUGAUCGGUCAAAACUGUUGGCACCAUUGAAUUCCUCGGUCCGAAUUUUGUAAGAUCAGUCAUAAAAAUAAAUCCCCGAAAAGCAAUCCCAAAAAACAUUCACUUUUAAAAAAAAUGAAAAAAGGUUGAUCGCUCCACUUCAGACGUUUUGUAAUUUUGACCAACCUACGAUUUUAUGGGUUCUUAAAAUUGGCUUAAGGUCCAUUUUCCAAGGCGGCGAUUACAAUCGUGUACGAUUUAUUAUUUGUGGUUUUUUUGACGCCCGAUUUGAAAAAAGGUACCGGAGUAAAAUUGGACGGUUUUUCGAUUAAUAGAAGAAAAAUGUGGGUAUUAUGGUAAAAAUGACGAUUUUCUUCGAUUUUUCCUAAUUUUUUGUCAGUUUUACUCAAAGUAAU